CGGUAAUACGGGGGGGGCUAGUGUUAUUCGGAAUAACUGGGCGUAAAGCGUACGUAAGCUGCUUUUAAAAUUAAAAGUGAAAGUCUAAAGCUUAACUUUAGAAUGUCUUUUAAAACUUAAAAGCUAGAGUUGAAGAUGGGAUUGUGGAAUUUCUAAUGUAGGGAUUAAAUCCGUAAAUAUUGGAAGGAACACCAAUGGCGAAGGCAACAAUCUGGAUUCAAACUGACGCUGAGGUACGAAAGCAUGGGGAGCAAACAGGAUUAGAGACCCUGGUAGUCCAUGCCGUAAACGAUGAGUGUUAAAUAUUAGAGUAAUUUAUAAUACUUUAGUAUUACAGCUAACGCAUUAAACACUUCGCCUGGGGAGUACGAUCGCAAGGUUAAAACUCAAAGGAAUUGACGGGGGCCUACACAAGCGGUGGAGCAUGUGGUUUAAUUCGAAAUAACGCGCAGAACCUUACCAGUCCUUGAUAUAGUAAAAGCUAAAUUUAGUUAUAUAAAUUUAGUGUUAUUUUUAUUACAGGUGCUGCAUGGCUGUCGUCAGCUCGUGUCGUGAGAUGUUAGGUUAAGUCCUAUAACGAGCGCAACCCUUAUUCUAUGUUGCUAAUUAUAUAUAAUGUAUAAUGCACUCAUAGAAAAUCGCUAACGAUAAGUUGGAGGAAGGAAAGGAUGACGUCAAGUCCUCAUGGCCCUUAUGGGCUGGGCUACACACGUGCUACAAUGGCAAUGACAAAAAGAUGCAAUGGUGCGAGCCGGAGCAAAUCUAUAAACGUUGUCUUAGUUCGGAUUGUUCUCUGCAACUCGAGAACAUGAAGUUGGAAUCGCUAGUAAUCGUAGAUCAGCAUGCUACGGUGAAUAAGUUCU
RNAcentral lists this ribosomal RNA (863 nucleotides) under uncultured bacterium. RNAcentral's name for it is "bacterial SSU rRNA". It matches the Rfam family "Bacterial small subunit ribosomal RNA", at positions 518 to 1374 of the family's 1533-position model. The record is from RNAcentral.